UACGUAGGGCGCAAGCGUUGUCCGGAAUUAUUGGGCGUAAAGAGCUCGUAGGCGGCUUGUCACGUCGAUUGUGAAAGCCCGAGGCUUAACCUCGGGUCUGCAGUCGAUACGGGCUAGCUAGAGUGUGGUAGGGGAGAUCGGAAUUCCUGGUGUAGCGGUGGAAUGCGCAGAUAUCAGGAGGAACACCGAUGGCGAAGGCAGAUCUCUGGGCCGUAACUGACGCUGAGGAGCGAAAGCAUGGGGAGCGAACAGG
RNAcentral lists this ribosomal RNA (253 nucleotides) under uncultured bacterium. RNAcentral's name for it is "partial 16S ribosomal RNA". It matches the Rfam family "Bacterial small subunit ribosomal RNA", at positions 524 to 776 of the family's 1533-position model. The record is from RNAcentral.